ACUGGACUUAGAUAACUAAGUCGGGAUGUCUCAUAAGCGUCUCAGUGGGGUGCCCUGUGUUUGGGACACUAAAGGGCUCAGCUGCUAAUGGAGGAGACCCGCAACUGGGAGGCUUGAGAGUGGUCACCCUAGGAGCAGAAGAUCCAUCCCUAAGCAUAACUCAAACUGAACGUCUACUCGUUAUGGAAUUGAAAUGAGGUAAACAGUUGCUGAGUGGAAAGCGUCCAUUGGUGUGGAGGCGGGGAAGUCCAGGAUUGAGAUGUAGCCCAGCUCCUUUCUGCCGACGCAUUAGUCAGUGCUGUUUCUUCUUUCAGGAGCUCUAAUGCCACCGUGGGACACUGCCCUCAGGAUCUCAUCCAAGCUAAUCAUUUCCCAUACAUGGUGGGAAGAGUGCUGGGAUUAACGGUGUGUGCCACUGGUCUUGGGAAGUUUGAGAAAACUAGCUGAACACAAGUCUAGAAGCAAACCAAUAAGCAACAUUCCUCCAUGAUCUCUGCUACAUUUCCUGCCUCUAGGUUCCU
RNAcentral lists this small RNA (521 nucleotides) under Rattus norvegicus (Norway rat). RNAcentral's name for it is "uncharacterized LOC102552792". Lineage: Eukaryota; Metazoa; Chordata; Mammalia; Rodentia; Muridae. The record is from RNAcentral.